AAGGCUUGGAGCUAAAGGUGGUGGCCA
Molecule: non-coding RNA, 27 nt
Filed under: Homo sapiens (human)
Lineage: Eukaryota; Metazoa; Chordata; Mammalia; Primates; Hominidae
Source: RNAcentral